RNAcentral lists this ribosomal RNA (468 nucleotides) under uncultured Desulfobulbus sp. Its description in RNAcentral is "bacterial SSU rRNA". It matches the Rfam family "Bacterial small subunit ribosomal RNA", at positions 920 to 1382 of the family's 1533-position model. The record is from RNAcentral. Lineage: Bacteria; Pseudomonadati; Thermodesulfobacteriota; Desulfobulbia; Desulfobulbales; Desulfobulbaceae.
CCCGCGACAAGCGGUGGAGUAUGUGGUUUAAUUCGAUGCAACGCGAAGAACCUUACCUGGUCUUGACAUCCCAGAGAUCCCUUGGAAACUUGGGAGUGCUUCCAUUAGGAAGAAUCUGGAGACAGGUGCUGCAUGGCUGUCGUCAGCUCGUGUCGUGAGAUGUUGGGUUAAGUCCCGCAACGAGCGCAACCCUUGCCUUUAGUUGCCAGCAGUUCGGCUGGGCACUCUAAAGGGACUGCCGGUGUUAAACCGGAGGAAGUGGGGAUGACGUCAAGUCCUCAUGGCCUUUAUGACCAGGGCUACACACGUACUACAAUGGCCGAUACAAAGGGCAGCGACAUCGCGAGGUGAAGCCAAUCCCAUAAAAUCGGUCUCAGUCCGGAUUGGAGUCUGCAACUCGACUCCAUGAAGUUGGAAUCGCUAGUAAUCGUAGAUCAGCAUGCUACGGUGAAUACGUUCCCGGGCCUU